RNAcentral lists this ribosomal RNA (433 nucleotides) under uncultured bacterium. RNAcentral's name for it is "partial 16S ribosomal RNA". It matches the Rfam family "Bacterial small subunit ribosomal RNA", at positions 29 to 507 of the family's 1533-position model. The record is from RNAcentral.
AACGAACGCUGGCGGCAUGCCUAACACAUGCAAGUCGAACGAUCCCUUCGGGGCUAGUGGCGCACGGGUGCGUAACGCGUGGGAACCUGCCCUUAGGUUCGGAAUAACUCAGAGAAAUUUGGGCUAAUACCGGAUAAUGUCUUCGGACCAAAGAUUUAUCGCCUUUGGAUGGGCCCGCGUUGGAUUAGCUAGUUGGUGGGGUAAAGGCCUACCAAGGCGACGAUCCAUAGCUGGUCUGAGAGGAUGAUCAGCCACACUGGGACUGAGACACGGCCCAGACUCCUACGGGAGGCAGCAGUGGGGAAUAUUGGACAAUGGGCGAAAGCCUGACCCAGCAAUGCCGCGUGAGUGAUGAAGGCCUUAGGGUUGCAAAGCUCUUUUACCCGGGAUGAUAAUGACAGUACCGGGAGAAUAAGCCCCGGCUAACUACGUG